Ananas comosus (pineapple) is the source of this 438-nucleotide long non-coding RNA. RefSeq lists it as uncharacterized. The record is from RefSeq and is a predicted model, not a curated record. Lineage: Eukaryota; Viridiplantae; Streptophyta; Magnoliopsida; Poales; Bromeliaceae. The transcript has 2 exons.
UAAAAUUUCUUAGAGGAUAAGGUGGAAAAUGUGUGCGCUGUUGAAUAUGAAAGCAUGUCAAGAUAUUGUUAAUGGUACUUUGAGCUUUGAGACAUGGUUAUUUUACUACAUGAUGGCAUCCCAAGGGAAACAGCCGAGAAGGUCGAGAGCAAAGCUUCCUUUCAGGUAGCUGACCAGAAACAAAGAAAGAGAAAUCCAUCAGCAAUUCUUGUUAGCCAUCAAUGGCGCGGUUCAGCCAUGCUUCAAACUUGGCCGGUGGAUUCAGAUCGAAACGCAGUUCUGAAAUAUCUACUUAUUAUGUGUUUUUUUUUUCUAUUUGGGAUCCAUAUCGAAUUGUUCUUGUAAUGUGAAUUAGGCUCCUAUACUAUUACUAGAAUCAAGCGCUUUGUGCUACUAGAUUUUUGGCCCUUAGAUGCAUGGAUAUGAAUAGAUGUGCAG